Molecule: unclassified non-coding RNA, 211 nt
Filed under: Ramariopsis kunzei
Lineage: Eukaryota; Fungi; Basidiomycota; Agaricomycetes; Agaricales; Clavariaceae
Description: partial internal transcribed spacer 2
Source: RNAcentral
AAUUCUCAACUUUGAAGGGACUUUUUGUGUCUUCAAAGCUUGGACCUUGGAGGCCUGCUGGUGUCAUUGCCAGCUCCUCUCAAAUGCAUUAGCGGAACUAUGAGGGACCGGCUUUGGUUUGAUAAUUGUAUCUAUGCCGCUGCUGUGAAUCCUUUCUGUUCAGCUUCUAACGGUCUUCGGACUGUCUCCUUGUGAGGCAUACACUAUUUAA